GAUGAACGCUGACAGAAUGCUUAACACAUGCAAGUCAACUUGAACUUCGGUUUGGGUGGCGGACGGGUGAGUAACGCGUAAAGAACUUGCCUCACAGAUAGGGACAACAUUUGGAAACGAAUGCUAAUACCUGAUAUUAUGAUUAUAUGGCAUCGUAUAAUUAUGAAAGCUAUAUGCGCUGUGAGAGAGCUUUGCGUCCCAUUAGCUAGUUGGAGAGGUAACGGCUCACCAAGGCGAUGAUGGGUAGCCGGCCUGAGAGGGUGAUCGGCCACAAGGGGACUGGGACACGGCCCUUACUCCUACGGGAGGCAGCAGUGGGGAAUAUUGGACAAUGGACCAAGAGUCUGAUCCAGCAAUUCUGUGUGCACGAUGAAGUUUUUCGGAAUGUAAAGUGCUUUCAGUUGGGAAGAAAAAAAUGACGAUACCAACAGAAGAAGUGACGGCUAAAUACGUG
Molecule: ribosomal RNA, 454 nt
Filed under: uncultured bacterium
Lineage: Bacteria
Description: partial 16S ribosomal RNA
Rfam family: Bacterial small subunit ribosomal RNA
Source: RNAcentral